UUAAGAGCUCCGGUUUUCAGGGCUGGGGCCAGGGGGCACGCCCCCUGGGUGACAUUUUCUCGCAUUGUGUCCUCAGAACAAAAACGAGUCUUAUUUGAAGAGUUGGAGCGGGGCGGGGGCAAGGGGCCGAGUGGAAUCGUGGCUCCAGGGAACGGCGAUUACUCAUCAAAGGCCAGGGCAGCCCGCGUCUUUGUGUGCCCUCCGCAGCCCGCCCGUGCCUGGCCACAGGCCCUCAGCCAUCGACUCCCCCGCGUCCGACCUCCCAAGAGCCCGGCUGGGGAUCGUGUGUGGGCAAAGAGCCGCUGCAGACACGGUGGGGGGAGGGGGUGUCCAGGCAGACUUCCUGGAGGAGGGGAGACGGCUAAAGAGAGAAAAAUGGAGUGGGUCUCCCGAGAUCAGAGGGGCCCCUGUUUCCUCCAGCAGUGCUGGCCUCAAGCCCCUGGAAAACAUGCACUUGUACUUUCCACCCAGCCUGGAGGGCCUUCGGUAAAAGCUGGUGGAGCUGCAGUAAAGGCCAGUGGUUCCAGAACCAACGACUGCUUGACUCCUACAGAGGAUUCUUGCUGGUGAAGGUGACAAGGAGGCUAGAAAGAUGAGAUCGGUACUAAUGAAGAAUGUGUUGAUGAAGAGUUGGAUUCCUAGAAAUUCCUACAUGG
This 656-nucleotide long non-coding RNA is filed under the name Capra hircus (goat). RNAcentral describes it as "lncRNA (ENSCHIG00010031306.1)". The record is from RNAcentral. Lineage: Eukaryota; Metazoa; Chordata; Mammalia; Artiodactyla; Bovidae.